UUUGAUUAUUAAAAAAUUAAACUGUUUUUAGUAGGCGCUGCUUAUCAAAAACUUAUUAGGCGCCUUACAGUAGGCAUCGUUUUCCUUUGCUUCGAUGCUCUAUUGUAGCUUAGAAAUUAAACGUUGCCUAAAUUUAGGACGCAUCUAACUAAUAGUAAUUUUUUUUACUAGAAAAAAUAUUUAUUUUUAUUUAUUGUCUUCUUUAACUAAGGAAAAAUGAGACUUAAGACCAUAUAAAAAAGAAAUUAAUAUUUUUUCGUUCCUUCAAGAUGGGUUUUGCGAAAAUAUAUUUCAGCUAUCGUUAUCUAAUUAUUUUUCACAUGUAUCUGUGAAUAUGUGUGCAAAUAGGUUUGCUAACUGUUAAAAAAAAGCUUUGGCGCCAAAUUUGGUGUUAUAAAAUUUUUAAGGCGUUCAAGCGUUAUUGUAUUUACUUUUUUUUAUAUAUAAAUCCAUAUAUAAUAUCACCGUGUUUGUGAGUGCGACUAUUUAAACGUUGGUUCGGUUCUUGUUUACCGUAGUAAUCAAUUAAGUUUUGUUGUAGAGAAUUUUAAUUGAAUGUAAACAACGGAUGAAAAAUCUAAGACAUUAAAAAAUAUUAACGACAAACGGAUUAUGCAUUACAAGCAUACCAUACAUAUUUACAUAUUUGGGGCACUUUGGUACAAAUGUUUUUCAUCAGCUCAAAUGGUGGUUUUAACCAGUUGAAAAAGUCCCCUCCAUCAAAUUUCAAUUAUCCACGCUCCGUCAUAACGAUUUCUGAUUGGUGCACAAAAUACAAAUGCAAAUGCAUAAAACUCACUUCAGACUGCGACUUAUGUACAUAUUUACAUUUUCAUUGGCACAUUUGUGAAAAAUGGUUCGCGUGCAAUUUUUACAACCCAAUAAAAAUGGUAUAUUAUUAGUGGAGCGCGUUUGAGUACAUAUGUAUUCAUGUAUGUAGGUAUAUAAGAAUGUAAUAAAUAUAUUUGUACAUAGAAACUAUUUCAAUGCUAAUUUUUUUCUGUCGUAAAUUAUAUAAAUAUCUAAAUCGAGGCCGUCGUCCAAACAUGCUAAAAAAUACCACACAUAGAAUUUGGUCUGUUAUCAGCUUAUAUAUAUUUUUUAUUUAUUUUGAAACAAAAGUUUUAUAUGGUAAUAUGACAAGUUUUGCUUUUAACGAGAGAUACCUCAUUUUGCGACUAAAUGUAGGCAACGUUUUUUGUUUGCCAAGAUUCAGACAUUUAUGUUGCAUAUUAUUAGGCUUAUUAGGUUUUUCAGCACAAAAAAGUUAACUAAUAAUAAUAAAAAAAUAAACAACAGCAGUUUAUUCUAAUCGAAAACUGUGAGAUAUUACUUUUUUUCGAAUCUUAAAUAUAAUCAUAGUAGAAAUGUGUAGCGUUGGCUAGCUUUAUUUAGCUAUAAAUAGCUUGCAAUAUAUUUUAAUUCCAAUAUCAGUAUUGUGUAAUAAUUAAUUAAAAUAUCAAAAUCACAAUAAAAAGGAAGUUUCAUUUGGCUUAGGUGUAAAAAAAAGUCCAAGCUUGUGGUUUGAAGCUUUACAAAAACCAGCUUAAUAGCGUUAACUAACUGCUGCCAUCUGCGGCUUGUGGGUCAUUGCCAACAAAAAUUGCUGUUAUUUGUUUUAGUAAGUGAUCUAUACUCUUAAUCUUUAGCAAAAUUGAAGAAAAAACAACAAAAUCUUUAAUUUUUAAAUUAAAAUUAUUCACAUUCAAAUCAUAUACACUUCUCUAUUACUUUAGUAUGGCGUUGUAUCACUAAAUAAUGCAUUUAUUUAAUUGUGCACCUGCCACAGCGGCGUCUAAUGCAUACUCAACCCAAGCGAAGAAUCGGACACGUAGUAACAAAGCAAUUUGUAGCAGCCAACAAGAGAGCUGAUGGCGGUAAUUUUGUUGGUACUUCAAUACAAAAAAUGUCCAAGAAUAAAUAAAAAAUUUAUAAUACAAAUUUGUAUUUACUCAUUGUACAUAAGUGCAUACAUACAUAGCUAUAUAUUGCAGUUACGAGUUCAAUAUGCACUUGCAGAUGCUGGUAUUGACUUGCUUGUUGCAACGUUGAUAAGAUUAUCAGCACAAACAAUCACAAUUAAAGAAACGCGCGCAGAGAGAGAUGCUCAGUGAAAAAUAAAUAAAAGAAAACAAAAAAUAAAAGCAGUAAAUAAGAGUUAUGGAAAAUGUUGCAAUUGCAGACAUCUUUGACACUUGAGGCUGCGUUUGUUUCUCGACAUUACUUUAAGAUCACACGGACAUACCGUAACCAAGGCAUUUGAAAGGGAUUAAUGGACAAAAAAAUAAACAAUGAAAAAAUCAAAUACUAGAUAACCUUUUUGAUAAAGAUUUCUGAAGGCAAAAUGAGUAUAAAAAUAUAUAUAUGAAAUUAUAAAUUAUGAGUUUAUGAUAUAAACAUUAUAAAACGACAACAGCAUGCUUCACUUAUUAAACAAAAGACUAAAUGUAGGCAACAAUUCACUUUAGUUUUCAUGUAUAUGGUAUGGUAUAAUGUUGCCUACAUUUAGGCACGAAAAAGAAGAAUUU
Molecule: long non-coding RNA, 2528 nt
Filed under: Ceratitis capitata (Mediterranean fruit fly)
Lineage: Eukaryota; Metazoa; Arthropoda; Insecta; Diptera; Tephritidae
Description: uncharacterized LOC110117937
Source: RNAcentral